CAUGUUGUUCUGCUAAGGUAGUUUGUGUUGAUAUAUGCAAAGAAGUGAUGCGAUAUAAAAAGCUAUUAGGACAAUGUACUCGACUCGAAAGAGGAUCGGAAUCGUGAGAGGAAGAUUAGAUUACUAGUAUUAUGUGGUUAGAGAC
Molecule: non-coding RNA, 145 nt
Organism: Orientia tsutsugamushi str. Sido
Lineage: Bacteria; Pseudomonadati; Pseudomonadota; Alphaproteobacteria; Rickettsiales; Rickettsiaceae
Source: Rfam